GACGAACGCUGGCGGCGUGCUUAACACAUGCAAGUCGAACGGAAAGGCCCUGCUUUUGUGGGGUGCUCGAGUGGCGAACGGGUGAGUAACACGUGAGUAACCUGCCCUUGACUUUGGGAUAACUUCAGGAAACUGGGGCUAAUACCGGAUAGGAGCUCCUGCUGCAUGGUGGGGGUUGGAAAGUUUCGGCGGUUGGGGAUGGACUCGCGGCUUAUCAGCUUGUUGGUGGGGUAGUGGCUUACCAAGGCUUUGACGGGUAGCCGGCCUGAGAGGGUGACCGGCAACAUGGGGACUGAGAGACGGCCCAGACGCCUACGGGAGGCAGCAGUGGGGAAUAUUGCACAAUGGGCGGAAGCCUGAUGCAGCAACGCCGCGUGCGGGAUGACGGCCUUCGGGUUGUAAACCGCUUUCGCAUGUGACGAAGCGUGAGUGACGGUAAUGGGUAAAGAAGCACCGGCUAACUACGUG
This 468-nucleotide ribosomal RNA is filed under the name uncultured bacterium. RNAcentral describes it as "partial 16S ribosomal RNA". It matches the Rfam family "Bacterial small subunit ribosomal RNA", at positions 28 to 507 of the family's 1533-position model. The record is from RNAcentral.